GCCUGGGUGGCUUAGUCGGUUAAGUGUCUGACUUCGGCUCAGGUCAUGAUCUCAGGGUUCGUGGGUUCACGCCCCAUGUUGGGCU
This 85-nucleotide transfer RNA is filed under the name Felis catus (domestic cat). It matches the Rfam family "tRNA". Rfam says of the family: Transfer RNA (tRNA) molecules are approximately 80 nucleotides in length. Their secondary structure includes four short double-helical elements and three loops (D, anti-codon, and T loops). Further hydrogen bonds mediate the characteristic L-shaped molecular structure. tRNAs have two regions of fundamental functional importance: the anti-codon, which is responsible for specific mRNA codon recognition, and the 3' end, to which the tRNAs corresponding amino acid is attached (by aminoacyl-tRNA synthetases). tRNAs cope with the degeneracy of the genetic code in two manners: having more than one tRNA (with a specific anti-codon) for a particular amino acid; and 'wobble' base-pairing, i.e. permitting non-standard base-pairing at the 3rd anti-codon position. The record is from Rfam by way of RNAcentral. Lineage: Eukaryota; Metazoa; Chordata; Mammalia; Carnivora; Felidae.